RNAcentral lists this unclassified non-coding RNA (179 nucleotides) under soil metagenome. RNAcentral describes it as "partial internal transcribed spacer 1". The record is from RNAcentral.
CUGAGUUACCGCUCAUCAACCCUUUGUGAACAUACCUUAACUGUUGCUUCGGCGGGUAGGGCGGUCCCCCUAGGGACGCCCUCCCGGCCCGCCCCCCUACCAGCGGGGUGGGCGCCCGCCGGAGGAUACCAAACUCUAUUUUAACGACGUUUCUUCUGAGUGACACAAGCAAAUAAUCA